UACGGAGGGGGCUAGCGUUGUUCGGAAUUACUGGGCGUAAAGCGCACGUAGGCGGACGAGAAAGUCAGAGGUGAAAUCCCGGGGCUCAACCCUGGAACUGCCUUUGAAACUCCUUGUCUUGAGGUCGAGAGAGGUGAGUGGAAUUCCGAGUGUAGAGGUGAAAUUCGUAGAGAUUCGGAGGAACACCAGUGGCGAAGGCGGCUCACUGGCUCGACACUGACGCUGAGGUGCGAAAGCGUGGGGAGCAAACAGG
RNAcentral lists this ribosomal RNA (253 nucleotides) under uncultured bacterium. Its description in RNAcentral is "partial 16S ribosomal RNA". It matches the Rfam family "Bacterial small subunit ribosomal RNA", at positions 524 to 776 of the family's 1533-position model. The record is from RNAcentral.